ACUUGCACACAACUUAGAUUAUUUAAGUUUAGAAUAAGUAGUUUAAGUUGUGUGCAAGU
RNAcentral lists this ribosomal RNA (59 nucleotides) under Campylobacter jejuni. Its description in RNAcentral is "partial 23S ribosomal RNA". The record is from RNAcentral. Lineage: Bacteria; Pseudomonadati; Campylobacterota; Epsilonproteobacteria; Campylobacterales; Campylobacteraceae.